RNAcentral lists this ribosomal RNA (300 nucleotides) under uncultured Sporotomaculum sp. RNAcentral's name for it is "partial 16S ribosomal RNA". It matches the Rfam family "Bacterial small subunit ribosomal RNA", at positions 497 to 795 of the family's 1533-position model. Lineage: Bacteria; Bacillati; Bacillota; Clostridia; Eubacteriales; Desulfallaceae. The record is from RNAcentral.
ACGAGUACGGUGGCGUAGGCGUGGGAGAACGUAGGGGGCGAGCGUUGUACGGAUUUAUUGGGCGUAAAGAGCGUGUAGGCGGCCAUGCAGGGUAGCUGUGAAAACUCGAUGGCUCAACCUCGAGAUGUCGGUUGAAACCGUGUGGCUAGAGUCCGGAAGAGGAGAGGGGAAUUCCCGGUGUAGCGGUGAAAUGCGCAGAUAUCGGGAAGAACACCCGUGGCGAAGGCGGCUCUCUGGGACGGUACUGACGCUGAGACGCGAAAGCGUGGGGAGCGAACAGGAUUAGAUACCCUAGUAGUC